Molecule: unclassified non-coding RNA, 298 nt
Filed under: uncultured fungus
Lineage: Eukaryota; Fungi
Description: sequence contains ITS2
Rfam family: 5.8S ribosomal RNA (bases 1-52)
Source: RNAcentral
AACGCAUCUUGCGCUCCUUGGAAUUCCGAGGAGCAUGCCUGUUUGAGUGUCGUUAAACUUUCAAACCUCACGAUGGUGAGGGUUUGGAUUGUGGAGUGUGCUGGAAGUCCCGACUUGCAGCUCCUCUGAAAUGUAUUAGCAAUGAAAGACUUUGCUUUCUGAGCUUCUUUUUUUGGCUUGAUAAUCUUUUUUGUCUACGCCAUUGAGCUUGGUGGUGAAGGGCCUUUUUUUGCUCAUAAACCCCAUAUCAACCUUUUUAUUUGACCUCAAAUCAGGUAGGACUACCCGCUGAACUUAA